GUCUACGGCCAUUCCACCCUGAACGUGCCCAAUCUCGUCUGAUCUCGGAAGCUAAGCAGGGUCGGGCCUGGUUAGUACUUGGAUGGGAGACUACCUAGGAAGACCAGGUGCUGUAGGUG
This 119-nucleotide ribosomal RNA is filed under the name Pteropus alecto (black flying fox). Lineage: Eukaryota; Metazoa; Chordata; Mammalia; Chiroptera; Pteropodidae. The record is from RNAcentral.